AAACUCCCAAAAUCAAUACCAACCUUCCUUUUAUGGUCAUAAACAUUGUGUUUAAAUUUCAUAGAUUUCUAUUUACUUAUACUAACGUUAUGGUGCGAAAAUCAAGAAAAAUGCUUAUUUGGGUCCCUUUUUGGCCCCUAAUUCCUAAACUGUUGGGACCUAAACUACCAAAAUCAAUAACAACCUUCCUUUUGUAGUCAUUAACAUAGUGUUUAAAUUUCAUUGAUUUCUAUUUACUUAAACUAAAGUUAUUGUGCGAAAACCAAGAAUAAUGCUUAUUUGGGCCCUUUUUUGGCCCCUAAUUCCUAAACUGUUGAAACCAAAACUCCCAAAAUCAAUCCCAACCGUUCUUUUGUGGUCAUAAACUUUGUGUCAAAAUUUCAUAGAUUUCUAUUAACUUAAACUAAAGUUAUAGUGCGAAAACCAAGAAAAUGCUUAUUUGGGCCCUUUUUGGCCCCUAAUUCCUAAAAUGUAAGGACCAAAACUCCCAAAAUCAAUACCAACCUUCCUUUUGUGGUCAUAAACCUUGUUUUAAAAUUUCAUAGAUUUCCAUUCACUUUUACUAAAGUUAGAGUGCGAAAACUAAAAGUAUUCGGACGACGACGACGCCAACGUGAUAGCAAUAUACGACGAAAAAAUUUUUCAAAUUUUGCGGUCGUAUAAAAA
This 666-nucleotide long non-coding RNA is filed under the name Mytilus galloprovincialis (Mediterranean mussel). Lineage: Eukaryota; Metazoa; Mollusca; Bivalvia; Mytilida; Mytilidae. The record is from RNAcentral.